RNAcentral lists this ribosomal RNA (490 nucleotides) under uncultured bacterium. RNAcentral describes it as "bacterial SSU rRNA". It matches the Rfam family "Bacterial small subunit ribosomal RNA", at positions 501 to 989 of the family's 1533-position model. The record is from RNAcentral.
CUACGUGCCAGCAGCCGCGGUAAUACGGAGGAUACGAGCGUUAUCCGGAAUUAUUGGGUUUAAAGGGUGCGUAGGUGGCGUAUUAAGUCAGUGGUGAAAAGCUGCAGCUCAACUGUAGUCUUGCCGUUGAAACUGAUAUGCUAGAGAGGAGACGAGGUAUGCGGAAUGUGUGGUGUAGCGGUGAAAUGCAUAGAUAUCACACAGAACGCCGAUUGCGAAGGCAGCGUACCAGGCUCCGUCUGACACUGAAGCACGAAAGCGUGGGGAUCAAACAGGAUUAGAUACCCUGGUAGUCCACGCUGUAAACGUUGGGCACUAGGUGUGGGGGCCACCCGUGGUUUCUGCGCCGUAGCUAACGCUUUAAGUGCCCCGCCUGGGGAGUACGGCCGCAAGGCUAAAACUCAAAGGAAUUGACGGGGGCCCGCACAAGCGGCGGAGCAUGCGGAUUAAUUCGAUGCAACGCGAAGAACCUUACCAAGGCUUGACAUGC